CUGUUUUCUGUCUUUUGUCCACUCUUGUCCACGCUCCAUGUCCGUUUGCCAGCUCACUGUGGUGGUUUACUGCUGAGAAAAACAUAAAUUCAUCAUCGCCCACUGACCGACCUCGCUCCCUCUAGCUGUCCAGCACCAGGGCUCCCAGGUGGAUGUUGCACUUGAGGACAGCCAACAACAGACACUCACUCACAGAGUGAGACAGAACGUCAGGACAUCAGUGGAAUCUGACGGGGAAUCUGUGAGCAAAACCAGAAGCAAGUCUAUAUGUACAACACCAGUCAGACACAAGGCAACUCAAA
Molecule: long non-coding RNA, 302 nt
Organism: Acanthopagrus latus (yellowfin seabream)
Lineage: Eukaryota; Metazoa; Chordata; Actinopteri; Spariformes; Sparidae
Exons: 4
Source: RefSeq, a predicted model, not a curated record